Molecule: ribosomal RNA, 896 nt
Filed under: Lactiplantibacillus plantarum
Lineage: Bacteria; Bacillati; Bacillota; Bacilli; Lactobacillales; Lactobacillaceae
Description: bacterial SSU rRNA
Rfam family: Bacterial small subunit ribosomal RNA
Source: RNAcentral
CAGUCGAGCGGACAGAUGGGAGCUUGCUCCCUGAUGUUAGCGGCGGACGGGUGAGUAACACGUGGGUAACCUGCCUGUAAGACUGGGAUAACUCCGGGAAACCGGGGCUAAUACCGGAUGCUUGUUUGAACCGCAUGGUUCAAACAUAAAAGGUGGCUUCGGCUACCACUUACAGAUGGACCCGCGGCGCAUUAGCUAGUUGGUGAGGUAAUGGCUCACCAAGGCGACGAUGCGUAGCCGACCUGAGAGGGUGAUCGGCCACACUGGGACUGAGACACGGCCCAGACUCCUACGGGAGGCAGCAGUAGGGAAUCUUCCGCAAUGGACGAAAGUCUGACGGAGCAACGCCGCGUGAGUGAUGAAGGUUUUCGGAUCGUAAAGCUCUGUUGUUAGGGAAGAACAAGUACCGUUCGAAUAGGGCGGUACCUUGACGGUACCUAACCAGAAAGCCACGGCUAACUACGUGCCAGCAGCCGCGGUAAUACGUAGGUGGCAAGCGUUGUCCGGAAUUAUUGGGCGUAAAGGGCUCGCAGGCGGUUUCUUAAGUCUGAUGUGAAAGCCCCCGGCUCAACCGGGGAGGGUCAUUGGAAACUGGGGAACUUGAGUGCAGAAAAGGAGAGUGGAAUUCCACGUGUAGCGGUGAAAUGCGUAGAGAUGUGGAGGAACACCAGUGGCGAACGCGACUCUCUGGUCUGUAACUGACGCUGAGGAGCGAAAGCGUGCGGAGCAAACACGAUCACAUACGCUGGUACUCCACGCCGUAACCGAUGACCGCUAGUCGCGAGGAGGUCCCCGCCCCUCAGCGGCGCAGCUAAUCCCCUAAUUACUAUGACCGGGCAGAAACUCAAAGGAAUUGACGGGGGCCCGCACAAGCGGUGGAGCAUGUGGUUUAAUUC